Molecule: non-coding RNA, 1721 nt
Filed under: Pan troglodytes (chimpanzee)
Lineage: Eukaryota; Metazoa; Chordata; Mammalia; Primates; Hominidae
Source: RNAcentral
CUGGGUUGUUUAUUCUUUUACAGUACAUUGAUUUUUCAGUUUUGGCUUUUGAGGGAGCUUGCUCAAUAGGAAUCCAAAAGUGCUUUUGCUUAUACCACUUCUGAGAAUUAAAAACAGACAUGAUGUAAGUAUCAAUGUUGACUAUUUCAGAAAAAAAAGAAACAUCCAAAUAGUGAAAAGUUAAAAUUAAAUUUGAUCUUUUUAUUUUUUAUUUUUUUGAGAUGGAAUCUCACUGUGUCGCCUAGGCUGGAGUGCAGUGGCGUGAUCUUGAUUCACUGCAAUGUCCACCUCCCGGGUCCAAGCAAUUCUCCUGCCUCAGCCUCCCAAGUUGGCUGUGAUUACAGCACUCUUCUUUCUGGGAGGAAACUAGACUGCUUUAGAAAUCACUGCAGGAAUCACAGAGUAAAAUGGAGAAGAAACCAGGGAUGUGUCAUAACACAGUAGUCUGAAAAAGGGCCAGGUAGAAGAGUGGGAAGGACUAUGCCUCUGGCAAGUGCAAGUUCAUAAAUCCCAGUUUCUUCAAGUUACGAGGCACAUCUGCAUCCCCAGAUGAUGGCUACUGGUCAGAACACUGAACUCAUACCAAAAGCUGCUGUUGUUGACAGUUUAAUGUCUAUGGAUCUGACUCGGAGAGAAAUGUGCCACUUACUGAAUCACCAACACCAUAUCUUUGGUGUUGAGGUGGGGCACGCUUACUUUUUCAUCUGAAGAUUGACACAGCCCACCAAGAACAAUUUGAAAGAGACAGGAUUGCUGCUGAAAAGGCAUGACAUCAAGCCACACAAAUUGGAUGUUAAGACUAGAGAUUAACUUGUGAACUUGGCAGGAAUAGGUCGUAUGACGAGAGCUGAAACGUACAACUGGAUCUUGGUCAUGCCAUUCCUCAAAGGAGAUGAAGAAAUCCUGAAUUUUUAAUUUAUGCUUAAUAGCCAUGGCUUUGUCUCUACAGAGUGUUUGUGAUAUAUUUCUAAGCAUUGGUAAAUUAAUUCUUACUGCACCAACUUGGUGGAAAUCUGUUCCAUCAGAAAGAGUUAAUACAUCCAAAGAGAUAGAAACACAUUUAAGACUAACUUUCACAAGCUCCUGCUUAGCUAAAAAUGAAACUAGAAAACUUUAUUUUGAGUAUUUUACAUUUCUGAUGGUACAGAAUCAACAGUUUGGGAAGCUUAAUACCUAUUUGCCAAGAGAAAAAGUCAGAAUUCUCUUUUCAGGUCUACAUUCUUUUAACUUGUCUCAUCUUUUUAUGUACCCUAGUAGUUUCAGAGAUACACUUGAAGAUAGAGCAAUUUCUGUUUUCAUCACUUUUAACAACAAUGGGUCUUUUUAUCAUUGUCAAUGAAUCAAUAUUCAGCCAGUGCUCCUGAGGAGAUGAAAAAUUCCACCGGCAAUUAUCUUACAGAGUCACCAUGAUUACUAGGUUAUAUGGUUUGGCUGUGUCCCCACCCAAAUCUCAUCUUGAAUUCCCAUGUGUUGCGGGAGGGACCCAGUGGGAGGUAACUGAAUCAUGGAGACAAGUCUUUCUUGUGCUGUUCUUAUGAUAGUGAAUAAGUCUCAUGAGAUCUUAUGGUUUUAUAAAGAAGAGUCCCCCUGCACAAGCUCUCUCUCUCUUUGCCUGCUGCCAUCUAUUUAAGAUGUGGCUUGCUCUUCCUUGCCUUCCGCCGUGAUUGUGAGGCUUCCCCAGCCAUGUGGAACUGUAAGUCCAAUUAAACCUCUUCUUUUGU